Molecule: small nuclear RNA, 149 nt
Organism: Meleagris gallopavo (turkey)
Lineage: Eukaryota; Metazoa; Chordata; Aves; Galliformes; Phasianidae
Gene: U1
Rfam family: U1 spliceosomal RNA
About the family: U1 is a small nuclear RNA (snRNA) component of the spliceosome (involved in pre-mRNA splicing). Its 5' end forms complementary base pairs with the 5' splice junction, thus defining the 5' donor site of an intron.
Source: Ensembl
AUACUUACCUGGCAGAGAAGACACCAUGAUCAGUCAGGUGGUUUUCCCAGGGUGAGGCUCAUCUCCUGCACUCCAUGUGUGAUGACCCCUGUGAUUUCUCCAGAUGUGGGAAACUCAACUGCAUAAUUUGUGGUAGUGUUAUAUAGACG